This 486-nucleotide long non-coding RNA is filed under the name Anser brachyrhynchus (Pink-footed goose). RNAcentral's name for it is "lncRNA (ENSABRG00000021612.1)". Lineage: Eukaryota; Metazoa; Chordata; Aves; Anseriformes; Anatidae. The record is from RNAcentral.
CUGCCAGUGCAGUAAGGAGGUGAUAGCCAGCAGGAGUGGGGGACAUCGUGAAGGUUAUGGAGCUCAGCUGUUCUGCUGACACCCCCACCCAGGGUACAUAUACCCCUCCAGUCCCACUGGCAGAGUUUUGUGUCUCUUGCUGGCUGUGGUGGGUGCUGGAAAUCCUGUUUUGUCCUUCACCAGCUUACCAAGGAGGUUUCCCUGGGUUUAUAAACGACUGCAUUUCCCUUCAGCAUGACAGCUGCAGCUUCACCUCUUCUCGUGUGAACCUGGAGUCAGGUCUGAAGAUAUGCCUGUUUACCACAGCUCUUCUUCUGUGUCUGUUCCCAGAACACACUUGUGGACUCCAUCAGCAGAGCUCAUUGUAAUUGAGUUGACACUCAAAAUCAUGUGUGUGCUUAGGAUAUUUGUACUCUUAAGAGUGGAAAUGAAAAGAAAUUGCAGCUAUUUCUCUAGAAAAUAAACAGUGCUUCUUAACAUGCUGCA